Molecule: long non-coding RNA, 360 nt
Organism: Cyprinodon tularosa
Lineage: Eukaryota; Metazoa; Chordata; Actinopteri; Cyprinodontiformes; Cyprinodontidae
Exons: 2
Source: RefSeq, a predicted model, not a curated record
CUCUGCAGAGGCCUUCUAACGAGCAAAUCAUUUGAUCCAGGGGUGGUAGAGGAGGAACGUAUCUAAACAUUGCAGAUUCCAUUCAGCUAUCACAGCCUGGAGCCAGUGAAGCUGACAUUGUUUCCCGGAUGGCGGCCUAUUUGCGUUCAGCGCCAGACAGGAAAGGUGGUGGUGGUCGCAAGACUGCUGCAGCUCAAAAUGUUUAAUGACUGCAAAAUCUAUAAAGUAUUUCACUUUAGUUCAUUGCUGUUGUUUGUGUACAAUUUAUAGUUCACAUAUUUGUAGUCAGUUGCCUGUUAAACUACACAGCUGUUGAAAUCAAUGUUUUGGAAUGUUUUAGAAUAAAAAUGUUUUGUUAUA